Molecule: ribosomal RNA, 147 nt
Filed under: uncultured Enterobacteriaceae bacterium
Lineage: Bacteria; Pseudomonadati; Pseudomonadota; Gammaproteobacteria; Enterobacterales; Enterobacteriaceae
Description: partial 16S ribosomal RNA
Rfam family: Bacterial small subunit ribosomal RNA
Source: RNAcentral
UACUGGCAAGCUUGAGUCUCGUAGAGGGGGGUAGAAUUCCAGGUGUAGCGGUGAAAUGCGUAGAGAUCUGGAGGAAUNCCGGUGGCGAAGGCGGCCCCCUGGACGAAGACUGACNNNACAGGUGCGAAAGCGUGGGGAGCAAACAGG